CCCUUAGAUGCUCUGGGCCGCACGCGCGCUACAUUGGUCGAUGCAACGAGUUUCUUUCCUUGGCCGACAGGCCUGGGCAAUCUUUGAACAUCGAUCGUGAUCGGGAUAGAUUCUUGUAAUUUUUGAUCUUAAACGAGGAAUUCCUAGUAAACGCAAGUCAUCAGCUUGCAUUGAUUACGUCCCUGCCCUUUGUACACACCGCCCGUCGCACCUACCGAUUGAAUGGUCCGGUGAAAUCUCCGGACUGGCGUGAGUCGGAGCAAUCUGACAAACACCGGAAAGUUGAUUAAACCUUACCAUUUAGAGGAAGGUGAAGUCGUAACA
RNAcentral lists this ribosomal RNA (324 nucleotides) under uncultured eukaryote. Its description in RNAcentral is "partial 18S ribosomal RNA". It matches the Rfam family "Eukaryotic small subunit ribosomal RNA", at positions 1470 to 1796 of the family's 1831-position model. The record is from RNAcentral.